GAUGAACGCUGGCGGCGUGCCUAAUACAUGCAAGUCGAGCGAACAGACGAGGAGCUUGCUCCUCUGACGUUAGCGGCGGACGGGUGAGUAACACGUGGAUAACCUACCUAUAAGACUGGGAUAACUUCGGGAAACCGGAGCUAAUACCGGAUAAUAUAUUGAACCGCAUGGUUCAAUAGUGAAAGACGGUUUUGCUGUCACUUAUAGAUGGAUCCGCGCCGCAUUAGCUAGUUGGUAAGGUAACGGCUUACCAAGGCAACGAUGCGUAGCCGACCUGAGAGGGGGAUCGGCCACACUGGAACUGAGACACGGUCCAGACUCCUACGGGAGGCAGCAGUAGGUAAUCUUCCGCAAUGGGCGAAAGCCUGACGGAGCAACGCCGCGUGAGUGAUGAAGGUCUUCGGAUCGUAAAACUCUGUUAUUAGGGAAGAACAAAUGUGUAAGUAACUAUGCACGUCUGGACGGUACCUAAACAGAAAGCCACGGCUAACUACGU
This 496-nucleotide ribosomal RNA is filed under the name uncultured bacterium. Its description in RNAcentral is "partial 16S ribosomal RNA". It matches the Rfam family "Bacterial small subunit ribosomal RNA", at positions 28 to 506 of the family's 1533-position model. The record is from RNAcentral.